This 916-nucleotide ribosomal RNA is filed under the name uncultured Bacteroidota bacterium. Its description in RNAcentral is "bacterial SSU rRNA". It matches the Rfam family "Bacterial small subunit ribosomal RNA", at positions 1 to 908 of the family's 1533-position model. The record is from RNAcentral. Lineage: Bacteria; Pseudomonadati; Bacteroidota.
GGAUCCAGACUUUGAUUCUGGCUCAGGAUGAACGCUAGCUACAGGCUUAACACAUGCAAGUCGAGGGGAAACGACAUCGAAAGCUUGCUUUUGAUGGGCGUCGACCGGCGCACGGGUGAGUAACGCGUAUCCAACCUGCCCAUCACUUGGGGAUAACCUUGCGAAAGUAAGACUAAUACCCAAUGAUAUCUCUAGAAGACAUCUGAAGGAGAUUAAAGAUUUAUCGGUGAUGGAUGGGGAUGCGUCUGAUUAGCUUGUUGGCGGGGUAACGGCCCACCAAGGCUACGAUCAGUAGGGGUUCUGAGAGGAAGGUCCCCCACAUUGGAACUGAGACACGGUCCAAACUCCUACGGGAGGCAGCAGUGAGGAAUAUUGGUCAAUGGGCGAGAGUCUGAACCAGCCAAGUAGCGUGCAGGAGGACGGCCCUAUGGGUUGUAAACUGCUUUUAUAAGGGAAUAAAGUGAGUCUCGUGAGACUUUUUGCAUGUACCUUAUGAAUAAGGACCGGCUAAUUCCGUGCCAGCAGCCGCGGUAAUACGGAAGGUCCGGGCGUUAUCCGGAUUUAUUGGGUUUAAAGGGAGCGUAGGCCGGAGAUUAAGCGUGUUGUGAAAUGUAGAUGCUCAACGUCUGCACUGCAGCGCGAACUGGUUUCCUUGAGUACGCACAAAGUGGGCGGAAUUCGUGGUGUAGCGGUGAAAUGCUUAGAUAUCACGAAGAACUCCGAUUGCGAAGGCAGCUCACUGGAGCGCAACUGACGCUGAAGCUCGAAAGUGCGGGUAUCGAACAGGAUUAGAUACCCUGGUAGUCCGCACGGUAAACGAUGGAUGCCCGCUGUUGGUCUGAAUAGGUCAGCGGCCAAGCGAAAGCAUUAAGCAUCCCACCUGGGGAGUACGCCGGCAACGGUGCAACUCAAAUGA